RNAcentral lists this ribosomal RNA (253 nucleotides) under uncultured bacterium. RNAcentral's name for it is "partial 16S ribosomal RNA". It matches the Rfam family "Bacterial small subunit ribosomal RNA", at positions 524 to 776 of the family's 1533-position model. The record is from RNAcentral.
UACGUAGGGGGCAAGCGUUGUCCGGAAUCAUUGGGCGUAAAGAGCGUGUAGGCGGCUCGGUAAGUCCGCUGUGAAAGCUCCUGGCUAAACUGGGAGAGGCGAGUGGAGACUGUCGGUCUAGAGUGAGGAAGAGGAAAGUGGAAUUCCGCGUGUAGUGGUGAAAUGCGUAGAGAUGCGGAGGAACACCAGUGGCGAAAGCGGCUUUCUGGUCCUUAACUGACGCUGAGGCGCGAAAGCAUGGGGAGCGAACGGG